GACGGGGACCCGCACAAGCGGUGGAUGAUGUGGUUUAAUUCGAUGCAACGCGAAAACCUUACCCACCUUUGACAUGUACGGAACCCUUUAGAGAUAGAGGGUGCUCGAAAGAGAGCCGUAACACAGGUGCUGCAUGGCUGUCGUCAGCUCGUGUCGUGAGAUGUUGGGUUAAGUCCCGCAACGAGCGCAACCCUUGUCAUUAGUUGCUACAUUCAGUUGGGCACUCUAAUGAGACUGCCGGUGACAAGCCGGAGGAAGGUGGGGAUGACGUCAAGUCCUCAUGGCCCUUAUAGGUGGGGCUACACACGUCAUACAAUGGCUGGUACAAAGGGUUGCCAACCCGCGAGGGGGAGCCAAUCCCAUAAAGCCAGUCGUAGUCCGGAUCGUAGUCUGCAACUCGACUACGUGAAGUCGGAAUCGCUAGUAAUCGUGGAUCAGAAUGUCACGGUGAAUACGUUCCCGGGUCUU
RNAcentral lists this ribosomal RNA (468 nucleotides) under uncultured Rhodoferax sp. RNAcentral's name for it is "bacterial SSU rRNA". It matches the Rfam family "Bacterial small subunit ribosomal RNA", at positions 912 to 1382 of the family's 1533-position model. The record is from RNAcentral. Lineage: Bacteria; Pseudomonadati; Pseudomonadota; Betaproteobacteria; Burkholderiales; Comamonadaceae.